RNAcentral lists this ribosomal RNA (547 nucleotides) under uncultured archaeon. RNAcentral describes it as "bacterial SSU rRNA". It matches the Rfam family "Archaeal small subunit ribosomal RNA", at positions 325 to 871 of the family's 1478-position model. The record is from RNAcentral.
ACGGGGAGCAGCAGGCGCGAAACCUUUACACUGCACGCCAGUGCGAUAAGGGAAUCCCAAGUGCGCAGGCAUAGAGCCUGCGCUUUUGUACACCGUAGGGAGGUGUACGAAUAAGGGCUGGGCAAGACCGGUGCCAGCCGCCGCGGUAAUACCGGCAGCCCGAGUGAUGGCCGAUCUUAUUGGGCCUAAAGCGUCCGUAGCUGGCCGCACAAGUCCAUCGGAAAAUCCACCCGCCCAACGGGUGGGCGUCCGGUGGAAACUGUGUGGCUUGGGACCGGAAGGCGCGACGGGUACGUCCGGGGUAGGAGUGAAAUCCCGUAAUCCUGGACGGACCGCCGAUGGCGAAAGCACGUCGCGAGGACGGAUCCGACAGUGAGGGACGAAAGCCAGGGUCUCGAACCGGAUUAGAUACCCGGGUAGUCCUGGCCGUAAACAAUGCCUGCUAGGUGUGGCUCCCGCUACGAGCGGGUGCUGUGCCGUAGGGAAGCCGCUAAGCAGGCCGCCUGGGAAGUACGUCCGCAAGGAUGAAACUCAAAUGAAUUGACGG